UACUGAUUGGCAUUGAGUGGAACUGCAGGUUCAGUAUUUCCCUUCUUGUUGCUGCAUCCGGUAAGGGCACAUAAAUGAUCCUGUCAAUUCUUCCAGGCCUCAUCAAAGCCUACAGAGACAGAACAUCAAUACUUAGCUAUGCUUAGAACUAACACUUCAUAUCAAAGGCAGUCAGGAAAAGAGAGAACUUUUUCAUAGUGUGUGUAUCCGCACAACUAUUACCCUCAACUAACAAAUAAGUACUAGAGGUCCCAUAAUCUAUUUCAGGAUAUAAACAGUGCCUAGUUGAUUUCUGAAGAUAGGAAAACAAUAGUUCAGGAAACUUUCUGAACAACUGCCAAGGUAAAUAGAAAACAGUAACAUUUAGAGGAAUGUGCAUAUGAUAUGUACUGACUAUAUGAAUUUUUUUUUAAAAAGCUUCCUUCAAUUAACUCAUAAAAUAUAGAAUAAGCUAUUUGCUGUUAAGAGAGCCCUAAAUAUAUAGCACAGCUAUGAUAAAGGAAUAGGCGUAGAGAUAAAUUUAGUCAAUUGCAUGUUUUUAGCAUUUUACUGAAGGCUAAUGCCUAUAUUGUGCCAGACCCAAUGAACUUACUCAGAAAAUUUACUGAGCAUGUGUUACUAGCCAGACAGUUUUGGUAUUGAGAAAAAGAACAAAUGUGUAAAGCUAACUCUGGUGACAAUUACGCAAAUUUAUGAAUAAGAACCAAUAAAGAUGUUUUAAAUGAGUGAAUUUUAUGGCAUAAGGCAUCUUAACAAAGGUACUGAAAUAGAUGUGUAUCUUUGAGAGAAUGGAGUAGCAUUUAUAUGGGCCAAUCAGAAAAGUCUUGUACAAAUACUCAAAGAACCGAGACACAUGAAGAGAUGUUGGAAGAGGAUUCAAGGAAAAGAGAAGAUCAAAUACAAAGGAAAACAAGUGGCACAUGGUGGGAAAGAAAGAAACCCAAAGAGUCUGAGGCAUAGUUAAUAAUGAAAACAAGAGGUAAGAAGUGAGAUCAGAAAGGCACAAAACACACUGUAGAAAAAUAUUCUACUGUUAACACUUAAAAGUAGAAAACCAAGAUGAUAAAAUUUACAUUAAAAGAUCACUCUUAUGGAAUAAUAAAAAAAAAGGUCUACUAUGUCACAAUCAGAAUUCUAGAAGGAAAACAAAAAUUAUAACACAAAAAGACCUGAAGAACUAAGGGCCUCAAAUUUUCUCCAAAUAGACAAGCAAAACACAAAUUCACAGUCAAGAAGCUCCAACAGGAUAAAAAGGUGUUUCAGUCUAAGAUCUAAGAUCUUUAAUUAAAGAUUAUCUUGAACUAAGGUCACACAGGGGACACUGGAAUCAAUAAUCAUUGGAACAUGGUCCAAGAAUGGAGUUGUGGAAGGAGAAUUCUGAAUGCUUGUGAGAAAACACCAGGAAGCAAUUUGCGAAUUCAGUUUCUUCAAAACACAGAACUGUUCUUGGAAUGUGUUUUCAUUUUCUCAGCUGUUAUUAUUCAUAUGCCUCUCUGGAAAACAUAUUUUUAUCACCUGUAGCUUGUGACUGUAUAGUUUACGCAGGGGACUCUUCGGACCCCUCAGAGUACAAAUUGUCUGAUGUUCUGAAUAAAGUUGGCUACUGCACGAGACUUUAAUCAUUCUCAUUUUUUAGGCCCCAUUCUUCCAGGAUCAUGCUGCCAACUAGAGCAGGUAAAAAACUAAAGGCCCUCCAACCCAACACACAGGCAGUUUAUCAGGGGAAUAACAUUUUCAAAGUGCUGAAACAAAAAUGUUACCCAGAACCCUACUGAUAAAAAAAUAACCUUCAAUAAUGAAGGAUAAACAAAGUUUUUUCAGAUAAAAGAACAACAACAAUAAGGUUUCAGGAGAUAUUUGUCACAAAACUGGUCAAGAAGCUUUACAGAGUGAAGGCAAAUGAUACAAGGUAGAAGACAAAAUCUUCCACAAGAAAUGAAAAGCACUGGAAAUUAAAGAGCUCAAAAACUCUUUUCCCUUUCAAAACCACUAAAAAUAUCAUUCUUACUGCUGGUAUAAUCAGAAAGGGCAGUCUUUAGAGCUCAUUUUAUGAUAAACGCCCACAAUGACAGCAUUCGGAUGCAAAGGCAGCACAUGGAAGUUCAAGGCACAUCUAGAAUACAGGAGAAGUUUAAUACUAGUCAGGGGUAACUUUGUAAACCCCAUGUUAAGUGAAAUUAGAGCUGACUUCAAUGGCCAGAACCAAACCAAACCGAACCGAACCAACCAACCAAAAAUUAUACCAUUAAAUAAACAACAACAACAAAAAAACUGUACCAUUAAAAUUAUACGACCAUUUCAGAACAUAGGAAGGAAUAUUCAUUAAACUGUUUUAUAAUGUUAGGCUAUUAACUUCAAACUCAGCAAAGAUUAUUAUAAAGAACAAACAUUACAGAAUGGCUUUUAUAAACACAGACCACCUAAUCUUCAAAACAGUGUCAAACAGGAUCGGAUUUACAAAACAGAUAAAUAAUCAAAACCAAGUAAGAGUUAUUGUUGGAACAAAAGGUUGGGCUAGUAUUUGAAAUUUAAUUAGAAUACUUCAUUGUACUGAUUUAAAAAGUAAAAAAACUAUGUCCAUUUUGAUACAUGCAGAAAAAAAAAACACUUGGCAAUCAAAUCAAGACCUACGGAUGACGCUAAACUCAUCAAACUGAUAAUAGCAGGGAUCUUCUUCAAUAUUAGAAAAAAUAUAAAGACCUACUGAUGACGCUAAACUCUCAUCAAACUGAUAACAGAAGGGAUCUUCUUCAAUAUUAGAAAAGACUGCAGACUGGAAGGAAUGGCAGAAACCACAUUCACUCAUCUGUUCAACCAUGGCAUUCAUGAGCCACUUAAUAAAUAUUCACUUGGUUACGCAAGCCAAUAAAGCCUCUUGGAGCCAAAAAGCCUUGCGGAUGCUUUCCUGCUUGAAGUCCUGCACCUCCCCAACGUCCUUCCUCCCUUUCUCCCUAAAAACCAUUGUUGAUAUAGUAGGUAAUUAACAUUAAAACUGUAUUACAACUGGGUCCAAAAAUAAAAAGAACUUCUAAG
This is a long non-coding RNA of Mastomys coucha (southern multimammate mouse), 3033 nucleotides long. RefSeq lists it as uncharacterized. The transcript is spliced from 2 exons. The record is from RefSeq and is a predicted model, not a curated record. Lineage: Eukaryota; Metazoa; Chordata; Mammalia; Rodentia; Muridae.